AUGAACCCUAGCAACUCGGGAACAAUGAAUGCUUCCAACCCAGUGCCCUUGCCUAUCAUCCAGGGAAGCAGCCUCUGCUCCUCUCUCUGGCCUCUUUUCGCGGAGAAGUGGCUCUGGUGGCAACUUGCUGAGCAUUUUGGCAUCUUGGAGUGGCAGCAGCAAUUGUUCAGGGUUGGCGGUGAGUUUCCCUUGAUACUAUACUGGGAGAAGCUUAGUAGCCUGGUUCAGGUGAGGUAUCUUCACUGAGCUCUCUCAGAGUUUAGGUUGAUUCUUUUCUCCUUUACCUUCCAAACACUAUCCUCUUGGGAAAGCCUCUAAUCUUCUUCAAAGACCUCGUGGCGGAGGUCUUUGAACUCCCCCUGGCACAGGCCAGGCAGGAGAAAUCCUAUACCCUCUCUUUCUCUUCUCCUUAAUUCUUUCCCUCUAUAUUAAUUAAAAUCACCAUAAAUUUCCAAACUGACUUGGAUAUUUUAUUGGGAUUUUCUCUGGUGACCAAAUUAAUUUAGAUUAAGUCACAACCCUAAAAUUACCCUUACACUUGACAUUUGUACUAUUUAUAGGAAUGCAAGUAUUUAUAACAGUUUGUUCACAUGACUACAUGGUGAAUAAGGUAUGGUCACAAAUAGAAACAAGUCUCAUGUAGCAUGCAGAACAAAAAUGAACAUGUUCACACAUAUGACCAUCCACUGAGAAUAGGUCUAUGUUUACCUAUUGACCCUUGUGGUGAUGUAGAAACAGUCUGAUCCUAGAUUGAGAAACUCUAAGAACAUGUGCUUAGUCAGAAGCAGGCAGGCUUUGGUGAAAUUGUUGCACAAACACCGAAUCAUUGUUUGCAUGAGCGUGAUGUUUUCAAGUUACUACAAGAACACAUCUAGAAUGUUUGCAGCAAAAGCGACUUACGUGUCUUAAAGGAAACCUGCAUUUAUAACUGAAUGAUUGUUAACUGCUUAUACUACCAUUCAAUUUUGGUGUAAAUUCCAUGGACCAUUGUCAUUUGGAGGUCCUCGAGCCACUAAAUGAAAACUACAUACAUUAUGUAUUUCUUCUGUGUUUGCAGCUUUGCAAAUGUCACUUGUUGCUUCAUGGUUUAAGAAAAAUGACAUUAAAUUUAUGCAUAAUAAAUGUGUAAUAAAAUAACCUGACA
RNAcentral lists this long non-coding RNA (1144 nucleotides) under Monodelphis domestica (gray short-tailed opossum). RNAcentral's name for it is "lncRNA (ENSMODG00000036433.1)". Lineage: Eukaryota; Metazoa; Chordata; Mammalia; Didelphimorphia; Didelphidae. The record is from RNAcentral.